AAGUCGUAACAAGGUUUCCGUAGGUGAACCUGCGGAAGGAUCAUUAAUGAAAUGAAGUUUUUUUGGGGUUUUUAAUCUCGAAAAAUAAUUCACAUUUUGUGCACUGUUAUUCUAUAUACUUUGGUUAGAGCUUUGGUUUCAUUUUAUGAAGUCAACUUCUUGCUGACUCUAUCCUUUCUAAGGACAGUUGGCUAUGAAGCGGCCUACCAAGGUUUUUUAUCAAACACAUUUAAUCCAACUGACCUAAAAACAAAUAAUUAAAUCAUAACUUUCAACAACGGAUCUCUUGGCUCUC
RNAcentral lists this unclassified non-coding RNA (295 nucleotides) under fungal sp. Its description in RNAcentral is "partial internal transcribed spacer region". The stretch from base 1 to 46 matches the Rfam family "Eukaryotic small subunit ribosomal RNA", at positions 1786 to 1831 of the family's 1831-position model. The record is from RNAcentral. Lineage: Eukaryota; Fungi.